AUUUGGAUUUAAGCACUUCAUAAAGCCCACUGGCUCGCUCUGUAGGCCUCCCAGCAAACCUUUCUUCUUUAGGAUAACCAACUGGAAAAAUACACAGAAGACAGGCUGCCUGAGGGGAUGAACCGGAGUGGUAUUACAAAGGAAACUUGUCUAUGGGAUUCCUGCAUCAUUUGUUUCAGAAGCUGAAAGGUGCCCGAUGAAAAAAGGAUGAGAUUGCAGGGAGAUAAAGUAUGGUCUCUUGGUGAGAUGGGGUUGAACACUACCUGGACAAAUGGAUUCUAUAACUAUUCCUGCCAUCAAGUCUUAAUAUGUUGCUAAGCAAGUCACUUACUCUAAAAUUUUUAAAGGCUGUCACCAAUCACAUGUUCCUCAGUUUCUUUGCAUCUGAGUUGAAACACUGGAAUCUGAUUUACAGGAGGGUUCAGCACUGACAUCAACAGCUAAAGUCAGUGGGAAACUCUCUCACAUCUCAGGGAUGUUGUAAAAAUGAAUUCAUUCUUAUUUGUGAAGUACUGAGGUGAGUAAUAAAGAAAAACCCAGGAAGAAAUUAAUAAUUUUGUCAUGAAAUCAGGAUUAGAUUAGCAUUCAGUAAAUAAGGCCUAGGGUCCGAGAGGGAACAGUGAAAUUUGAACAAAAUAUUGAACUGCUGCUUAUCUGCUGAGUGCCAGACAUUCUGCACACAGAAUAAAGCAGAUGUGAUGUGGGAAAAAAACAGGAUAUGAUAAUGUAAUCAUAAUGCACAUGCACAAUGGAGCUCAUUAAAUUUACACAGCUAACCUUCA
This is a long non-coding RNA of Gavialis gangeticus (Gharial), 782 nucleotides long. RefSeq lists it as uncharacterized. The record is from RefSeq and is a predicted model, not a curated record. The transcript has 2 exons. NCBI's taxonomy places the organism in Eukaryota, Metazoa, Chordata, Crocodylia, Gavialidae.